GACGAACGCUGGCGGCGUGCCUAAUACAUGCAAGUUGAGCGAUGAAGCUUGGUGCUUGCACCAAUUUGAAGAGCAGCGAACGGGUGAGUAACGCGUGGGGAAUCUGCCUUUGAGCGGGGGACAACAUUUGGAAACGAAUGCUAAUACCGCAUAACAACUUUAAACAUAAGUUUUAAGUUUGAAAGAUGCAAUUGCAUCACUCAAAGAUGAUCCCGCGUUGUAUUAGCUAGUUGGUGAGGUAAAGGCUCACCAAGGCGAUGAUACAUAGCCGACCUGAGAGGGUGAUCGGCCAAAUUGGGACUGAGACACGGCCCAAACUCCUACGGGAGGCAGCAGUAGGGAAUCUUCGGCAAUGGACGAAAGUCUGACCGAGCAACGCCGCGUGAGUGAAGAAGGUUUUCGGAUCGUAAAACUCUGUUGGUAGAGAAGAACGUUGGUGAGAGUGGAAAGCUCAUCAAGUGACGGUAACUACCCAGAAAGGGACGGCUAACUACGUG
Molecule: ribosomal RNA, 497 nt
Filed under: uncultured bacterium
Lineage: Bacteria
Description: partial 16S ribosomal RNA
Rfam family: Bacterial small subunit ribosomal RNA
Source: RNAcentral